CCUACGGGCGGCAGCAGUGGGGAAUAUUGCACAAUGGGCGAAAGCCUGAUGCAGCAACGCCGCGUGAGCGAUGAAGGCCUUCGGGUCGUAAAGCUCUGUCCUCAAGGAAGAUAAUGACGGUACUUGAGGAGGAAGCCCCGGCUAACUACGUGCCAGCAGCCGCGGUAAUACGUAGGGGGCUAGCGUUAUCCGGAAUUACUGGGCGUAAAGGGUGCGUAGGUGGUUUCAUAAGUCAGAGGUGAAAGGCUACGGCUAAACCGGAGUAAGCCUUUGAAACUGGGGAACUUGGGUGCAGGGGGGGAGGGGGGAAUUCCUGGUGUAGCGGGGAAAUGCGUAGAUAUUAGGAGGAAAACC
Molecule: ribosomal RNA, 354 nt
Filed under: uncultured bacterium
Lineage: Bacteria
Description: partial 16S ribosomal RNA
Rfam family: Bacterial small subunit ribosomal RNA
Source: RNAcentral